CGGACGGGNGGUAGUAACACGUGGGUAACCUACCUAUAAGACUGGGAUAACUUCGGGAAACCGGAGCUAAUACCGGAUAAUAUUUCGAACCGCAUGGUUCGAUAGUGAAAGAUGGUUUUGCUAUCACUUAUAGAUGGACCCGCGCCGUAUUAGCUAGUUGGUAAGGUAACGGCUUACCAAGGCGACGAUACGUAGCCGACCUGAGAGGGUGAUCGGCCACACUGGAACUGAGACACGGUCCAGACUCCUACGGGAGGCAGCAGUG
Molecule: ribosomal RNA, 265 nt
Filed under: uncultured Staphylococcus sp.
Lineage: Bacteria; Bacillati; Bacillota; Bacilli; Caryophanales; Staphylococcaceae
Description: partial 16S ribosomal RNA
Rfam family: Bacterial small subunit ribosomal RNA
Source: RNAcentral